Molecule: RNA transcript, 1607 nt
Organism: Melospiza melodia melodia
Lineage: Eukaryota; Metazoa; Chordata; Aves; Passeriformes; Passerellidae
Gene: SLC25A27
Gene name: solute carrier family 25 member 27
Exons: 10
Source: RefSeq, a predicted model, not a curated record
UGGCUGGGUGCCCUCGGUUCAUGUGAGAUGCUAGAUGUCACCUGCAGAAGAAGAGAGCAGCUUACCUCUUCCAGAGAGAUGGCCCCGAGCCAGCAAAUUCGCUCUGUCAGCCUGUGCAGCGGCUGUGGCAGAAUUAGUGACAUUUCCCCUGGAUCUCACGAAAACCCGGCUGCAGGUCCAAGGUGAAGCUGCGGCCGGGCCGGCGGUGCCGUACCGCGGGAUGCUGCGCACGGCGGCUGGAAUCGCGCAGGAGGAGGGGGUAUGGAAGCUCUGGCAAGGAGCCACGCCGGCCGUCUACCGCCACAUAGUGUACACUGGUGUCCGGAUGGUUACUUACGAACAUCUCCGUGACUCCGUGCUUGGCAGGGCAGAGGGUGAAAGCUUUCCUCUCUGGAAAGCUGUGGUUGGAGGCGUAUCUGCAGGUGCCAUUGGACAGUUUUUUGCCAGCCCAACUGAUCUGGUGAAGGUGCAGAUGCAGAUGGAGGGGAAAAGGAAGUUGGAAGGAAAGCCAUUACGGUUUCGGGGCAUGCACCACGCAUUUCUGAAGAUCCUGUCUGAAGGAGGAGUAAGGGGACUUUGGGCUGGAUGGGUACCAAAUGUCCAGAGAGCUGCUCUGGUGAAUAUGGGAGAUCUGACCACUUACGACACAGUGAAACACUUCUUGCUUCUGAACACGACACUUGUGGACAACAGUGUGACUCACAGUGUCAGCAGUGUCUGCUCUGGGCUGGUAGCAGCUGUGCUGGGAACUCCUGCUGACGUGGUCAAAACCCGGAUAAUGAACCAGCCAAGAGAUAAGCAGGGAAGAGGUCUGCUCUAUAAAUCUUCCAUGGACUGCUUGAUUCAGACAGUGCAGGGUGAAGGGUUAAUGUCUCUGUACAAAGGCUUUAUACCAACCUGGAUGCGAAUGGCACCCUGGUCGCUGGUAUUCUGGCUUACAUAUGAACAAAUCAGAAGGCUGUGUGGAGUUACUUCUUUUUAAAACCUUCAAUAUUCACAGAGAAGAGCAGUCAAGCUGAAUUCUCAUUCCACAGGGUAGUAGGAUCACAUGCAUAGCUUGUUGCUCCAAAUCCAGUCCUUACUAGUUGGGAACAGCCAUGACUUAAGAGACUGCCUGACCUCUCCACUCAACUCUUGAAGUAAGAUCAUGAUUGAAAUGCAGUCCUGUUCUCAGAAAAUCAAAAGCCUGGUUUGUUCUGCAAUGCUCAAAGGUCUCAGGAUAUUCCACAGGACCAAGGUGAACUACUUGUCCUGUGACAAUCUCAGUGCUGAUGUGGCAGGCUGGGUCAUUUUCCAUGGGAGCGUGCACUCUGCCCACUUUACAUCUCAAUGGAAAUACAGUGUUCUCUUCAAUAAUGCAAAAGGUUUGAACAGGAAUGAUUUAUUUAUUUUUAAACCUAAAGCCUUCCAGAUUUCAUAGAGAAGGAGACUACUGCUGUUUGUCACUAGGUUCACCUUUGGCAAUCAAGGGUCAAUAAUGCAGUAUUAAAUGCAGCCGUGAGUAGAUAAAACAAAGCUGGCUUUGAUUUAGUAAUAUCUAGUAAUUGAGUUAAUGUAGAAAAUGUGGCUCUUUGAAUAAAUACCCAGGAUUUCUUCUAGUCUUUGCA